GGAUUAGAUACCCUGGUAGUCCAUGCCGUAAACGAUGAAUGCUAGCUGAUGGAGGUCUAUACCCGUUCAUUGGCAAAGUUAACGCAUUAAGCAUUCCGCCUGGGGACUACGGCCGCAAGGCUAAAACUCAAAGGAAUUGACGGGGGCCCGCACAAGCAGUGGAGUAUGUGGUUUAAUUCGACGCAACGCGCAGAACCUUACCCGGCCUUGACAUCCUUGGAAAUGACUCGAAAGAUGAUUGUGCCACCGCAAGGUGGAACCAGGUGACAGGUGCUGCAUGGCUGUCGUCAGCUCGUGCCG
RNAcentral lists this ribosomal RNA (300 nucleotides) under uncultured bacterium. RNAcentral describes it as "bacterial SSU rRNA". It matches the Rfam family "Bacterial small subunit ribosomal RNA", at positions 775 to 1067 of the family's 1533-position model. The record is from RNAcentral.